RNAcentral lists this transfer RNA (77 nucleotides) under alpha proteobacterium HIMB114. Its description in RNAcentral is "tRNA-Met". It matches the Rfam family "tRNA". Rfam says of the family: Transfer RNA (tRNA) molecules are approximately 80 nucleotides in length. Their secondary structure includes four short double-helical elements and three loops (D, anti-codon, and T loops). Further hydrogen bonds mediate the characteristic L-shaped molecular structure. tRNAs have two regions of fundamental functional importance: the anti-codon, which is responsible for specific mRNA codon recognition, and the 3' end, to which the tRNAs corresponding amino acid is attached (by aminoacyl-tRNA synthetases). tRNAs cope with the degeneracy of the genetic code in two manners: having more than one tRNA (with a specific anti-codon) for a particular amino acid; and 'wobble' base-pairing, i.e. permitting non-standard base-pairing at the 3rd anti-codon position. RNAcentral also lists the same sequence under 5 other names. Lineage: Bacteria; Pseudomonadati; Pseudomonadota; Alphaproteobacteria; Candidatus Pelagibacterales; Candidatus Pelagibacteraceae. The record is from RNAcentral.
GGGCCUGUAGCUCAGUUGGUUAGAGCCCCCCGCUCAUAACGGGGUUGUCGGGGGUUCAAAUCCCUCCGGGCCCACCA